RNAcentral lists this ribosomal RNA (342 nucleotides) under Wolbachia sp. Its description in RNAcentral is "bacterial SSU rRNA". It matches the Rfam family "Bacterial small subunit ribosomal RNA", at positions 1039 to 1380 of the family's 1533-position model. The record is from RNAcentral. Lineage: Bacteria; Pseudomonadati; Pseudomonadota; Alphaproteobacteria; Rickettsiales; Anaplasmataceae.
UGUUGCAUGGCUGUCGUCAGCUCGUGUCGUGAGAUGUUGGGUUAAGUCCCGCAACGAGCGCAACCCUCAUCCUUAGUUACCAUCAGGUAAUGCUGGGGACUUUAAGGAAACUGCCAGUGAUAAACUGGAGGAAGGUGGGGAUGAUGUCAAGUCAUCAUGGCCCUUAUGGAGUGGGCUACACACGUGCUACAAUGGUGGCUACAAUGAGCUGCAAAGUCGCGAGGCUAAGCUAAUCCCUUAAAAGCCAUCUCAGUUCGGAUUGUACUCUGCAACUCGAGUGCAUGAAGUUGGAAUCGCUAGUAAUCGUGGAUCAGCACGCCACGGUGAAUACGUUCUCGGGUC